RNAcentral lists this ribosomal RNA (2588 nucleotides) under SAR202 cluster bacterium. Its description in RNAcentral is "partial 23S ribosomal RNA". It matches the Rfam family "Bacterial large subunit ribosomal RNA", at positions 1 to 2023 of the family's 2925-position model. Lineage: Bacteria; Bacillati; Chloroflexota; Dehalococcoidia. The record is from RNAcentral.
GGUCAAGUUAUUAAGGGCUUACGGUGGAUGCCUUGGCACCAAAAGCCGAUGAAGGGCGCGGUAAGGCUGCGUUAAGCCUCGAUGAGCCGUCUAACGGGCAUAGUCGGGGAUACCCGAAUGGGGAAACCCUAUCCGGUGUUGAGUCGGAUAAUCCUCUCUUUCGAGAGAGGAGGGCAAGUGGGGGAACUGAAACAUCUAAGUACCCCGAGGAAAGUAAAUCAACCGAGAUUCCCUUAGUAGUGGCGAACGAACGGGGAUCAGCCUAAACCAGUAUGACUUAGUGGUAUAAGGGCCUAUGUCGUAUUGGGGUUGCAGGGAUUGCCUAGAGCCCCCUUAUGAGGCUCGAAGGAGUUACAAAUCUUAUCUCUAGUCGAAGGAUCCUGGGAAGGACCGCCACAGAGGGUGACAGCCCCGUAGGCGAAAGGGAUGAGACUCCUGGCGUAUUACCUAAGUACCACGGGGCACGGGAAACCUUGUGGGAAUCUGGGGGGACCACCCUCCAAGGCUAAAUACUUUUGGUGACCGAUAGCGUACCAGUACCGUGAGGGAAAGGUGAAAAGAACCCCUAGCGGGGAGUGAAAUAGAUCUGAAACCGUAAGCCUACAGAAGGUCGUAGUCCUGACUUCGGUCGGGAUGGCGGCGUGCCUAUUGAAGAAUGAUCCGGGGACUUAAUGUAUGGAGCAAGGUUAAGGAACUGUAGUUCCGGAGCCGUAGCGAAAGCGAGUCUGAAUAGGGCGCCAAGUUCCAUGUAUUAGACUCGAAACCGGGUGAGCUACCCAUGGCCAGGUUGAAGGUCCGGUAACACGGACUGGAGGACCGAACUCGUGGCUAGUACAAAAGCUUGGGAUGAGCUGUGGGUAGAGGUGAAAUGCCAAUCGAACUCGGAAAUAGCUAGUUCUCCUCGAAAUGCAUUUAGGUGCAGCCUCGAUCUAUAGGUGGACGGAGGUAGGGCACUGAAUGGGCUAGGGGGCGUGAGCUUACCAAACCCAAUCAAACCACCAAUGCCGUUUAUCCGUUAAUCGGGAGUGAGACCGGCACAGAUAAGUGCGUCGGUCGAAAGGGAAACAGCCCAGACCACCGGCUAAGGCCCCUAAGAAUUGACUAAGUGGGAAAGGAAGUUAGGUUCCAAAAACAACCAGGAGGUUGGCUUAGAAGCAGCCAUCCUUUAAAGAGUGCGUAAUAGCUCACUGGUCGAGGGAUCUGGCGCCGAAAAUGUAACGGGGCUUAAGUCAAUCGCCGAAGCCGUGGAUGUAUAAGUACAAGGAUGAAAUCUUCGUAACUCAAGGCGGACCCAAUGGUGGAAGUCUUUCCCUUCGGGGUUUGAUGGAAGCCUGCGGUGAAACCGGCGGAAACGAAGCCGGACUUUUUGGUUAUUGCUUAUGCGUGGUAGAGGAGCGUUCCUCGGGCGGUGAAGGUUAAUCGUGAGGUUAGCUGGAGCGCGGGGAAGUGAGAAUCCCGGAAUGAGUAGCGUAAACUAGGGUGAAAAUCCCUGGCGCCGAAAGCCCAAGGUUUCCUACGCAAUGCUUGUCAGCGUAGGGUUAGUCGGUCCUAAGCCGUAGGCAAGAGCCGAAGGCGAUGGACAGCAGGUUAAUAUUCCUGCACUGCCGUAUUUUCGCUUAAAACCAAGGAGGGAUGCAGGAGGGUAGGUGGAGCAUGCCUAUUGGACAUGGUGUGUCCUCUUUCGUAGGCGAGUCGGGGCAGGUAAAUCCACUCCGACGUUAAGCUGAGGAUUGAGGGAACUGAAGCCUUCGGGCUUACGGAACUCUGCUGACCCCAUACUGACGAGAAAAGCUUCGUGGUUAUGGGAAUAUGGCAACCGUACCGCAAACCGCCACUGGUGGGCUAGGAUAAAAGUCCUAAGGCGUUCGAGCGAACCUUCGUUAAGGAACUAGACAAAAGAGCCCUGUAACUUUGGGAGAAAGGGCCCCCCGGGAGGUGCAACCACUUGCUGGUGAAGCGUUUUGGGGGCGCAGAUAAGAAGGCCGGGCGACUGUUUAACAAAAACACAGGUCUGUGCUAAGGGGAAACCCUACGUAUACAGGCUGACGCCUGCCCAGUGCCGGAAGGUUAAGGGGAAGAGUGAGAGCUUUGAACUGAAGCCCCGGUGAACGGCGGCCGUAACUCUAACGGUCUACCAAGUACCAACAAGGAUCAGAGGACUUGUUCUCUGGAUCAGCGUUGGUCGACUUAAGGCCGUUGUAAAAUUUGGCUAUAUGCUGGAAACUCCGAGUAUCCGGCGCUACCGGCUGGUUUAAUCUGAAUCAGAAGGUGACAAUGCGUCCGGUGCGGACAAUCAGCAGGAAAGACCUUGGAGAAGAAACUCCGGUCCGUCCAAGGAUCGAAGUGGACCUCCUCGGAAUCCUCAGAGACUAUACGCCAGACCCUUGUCGGAACCAGUGGGAAGAUAUAGUCCGAUCUAUGUGGCGACAUAUAGAGGUCGGCAGAAAUGACCGGCCCCGUCAACUUAACUUGAGCGUUUCGGCGCUUAGACUUAGUUUGAUGAGUAACAAAUUGCCUAAGGUAGCGAAGUCCCUUGUCGGGUAAGUUCCGACCCGCAUGAAUGGUUGAACGACUUGGCCAUUGUCUCG